Rattus norvegicus (Norway rat) is the source of this 2912-nucleotide non-coding RNA. Lineage: Eukaryota; Metazoa; Chordata; Mammalia; Rodentia; Muridae. The record is from RefSeq and is a predicted model, not a curated record.
ACUGCCAGAGGACAAGCUGGGCUGAUAUCUGGUUAAAAGUGACAGCUAAGAUAUAUGGGUGGCUGUCUGCGAGUUUAGAAACAGGAAACAGCACUUUGCUGCAUUUGCCAAAGCGCGUAUAAACCCAGAGAGGGUUGUGCAGAAAGUCAAGACCAGAAUGGGAACAAGACAGUUUGUGGUGACAAGUACUACGCAGAGUGUGUGUUGAUGUGAAGAGGAACCUCCUCCCUGCCCUAGCAAAUGCUGUGCCUUCUUAUCCCAUCCAAAACAAUGUGACUCCAGAGAGGACACCGUGUUAUUGAGUGUGGAAGUGUAUCUGUCACUAUUAACGUAUCAAACAGAGGUCUUGAUAUUAUCGCCCCUGAUCAGCUGAUUAAAGCUUACCCACAGGAAAAGCCUGCCCGCAGCCUACCAAACAUUAGCUAUGCGUGACGUAGAGAAGAGUCUUUGUCGCACUCCCAGGAGUGAUGCAAGCAAACAAACACAGCUCACCCUACUGGGUCUCUAUGGCAACAAGCCACUUGUUGUCUAGAUGAUGAUCCGUCCUCUGGAAGAGGGAUCUCCCUUGACUGGAGGGAGUUUUGGAAGGAGACACGUCAACUGCAGUGCCUCAGCAACGGCUGUUUGUUAUUGAAGCAGACACAGAGACAGAGGAAAGGCUACCAGAGGACACCGUGCAGAAGACUGCUGCCUUGCAGGAAGGAAUGGGAUGGAUCUGAACAGCCAAAGCUCUUGGGUUGGAGGAAGUAGAUGAAGUGAACACUGACAAGAACAUCUAGCUAUAACCUAUUGACUAGAUGGAAAGAAUAUCUCCCUCUUGAGCAAUCGAUCAGCCUUCUGACAGAAUUUCAAAUCUCUGCUCUUUAGAUUUGUCAUAGACAGAACAAACCGGGGAAGAAAUUGGAGGAAAACCGAGGAAGAACUGAAAGAAGUUUAUUGCACUAGAAGUCUUCCCUUAAGGUGUGAUGGCUCCUCCUGGGCUGUCUAUAACAGCUGAACUUUGACCCAUGUUAAAUCCCAUGUGGGUUUCUGUUAGAUAGUAUAUUGGCUUGGGUGUCUACUUUCAAUACUGACCAGAAUAGAGGUGUGAUCAAUAUUUACCAGUUGUUAUGGAAGCUGGGUUAGAAGCUAGAGUGGUCAGUAUAGCUAAAUGAUGAGACAGUCUACCUGUAACACAGUCAGAGGCAAUCAUGACAAUGCCUGGACAAACCAGGCUGGCCCAAGUUGGAGUUUUCGUCUUCCAAUUAGAACUUAUGUCUAAGCUUCACCCUUACGGUUCUCAUUUGGACCAGAGUUACACCCUGGAAAUGCUUCUAAACCUCCAAUGAUCUCCAACAAAGAUAUAGUUAAUUCUCUUCAAAAGAAAAGACAAAUGAUCCAAACCAAUUCAAUGUAGUCAUAAAGGGGGUAUAUAUUUUCUUCCUCACCAGCUGUGUUCACUACUCAUGGUUUUGAAUGGCUGUAGGUAUUAAAAAUACCACAUUGUUUUGGCUGGGAUAAGAAACCAGUGACUAGAAAUGACAGUGCUUAAACGGUUCAGGGAACGUAAAACCAAGUCGGAGAGAUAGAGAGAAUGCUGGUCAACUAACUCACACAGUUUUCCAGGAAGUUGUUGGGUCUUUGUACCCUCCUCCUCAUCUCCUAUAAGCACGCUGUGCUCAGUGGAUAACUUCAAACUUCCGUGGAUACCUGGAGAAUUGAAGAAACUAAGCCGUUGAGCUAAGGCCAUCCACAACUACAAACCAGCAAGUCUACGUUACUCGGAGAAACAAACCGACAAACACCUGACACUUGUUUAGACGACUUUAAGUGGAUUUUCCUGGGACCGAAAGAAGAAGGAAAGCAGAUACCGCGAAUGACAGCUGUUGUGACUUACAGUUUCUUAAAGUGUGAUCCAGAGGAGCGGUGUCAGUAUCACCUGAAACUGGUUAGAAGCCUCAUCAUAGCCGUCAGUCAGAAGCUCUGGAGUGGGUCCCCGAAAGCUGCUACACUUGAACAGAUCUUCCAGAUGAGUCUGGGCAGGUUAGGUUGAAAGGCCUCUGUGUACUGUGUCACUAUGGUCGAAGGCACUCAACUUCAGUGUGUUACCAACAAAUGAAAAUAGAGAAACAAAGCAGCAAACAAAAAAUGGCGUCCACCUCUCUUGGGGUGGCCUGAAGCAGCUGAGCAGGGCUGGAUGGUGCAAUGCACUGUGCACUUUGAGGUCGUACAAUGAAACAGGAAAUUUUUCUUCUAGGUAAGGAGGACUUCAGGUAAGAAAGUGGGUUAGAAGUCUCCUCUGACCCAUUAAAGAGAGGCCCACAGAAAGAAAAUUUUGACCUCAUUCCAAAGAAUGAAACAGAAGAACUUUGGUAAUCUACCAAGACAUGGAAAAAUUUCUGAAAAGUGAGAAGAAAAAGACUUAGACCAAGGUCAAUGAGAUGACCAAACACAGCUUCUACCACAGAACUCCCUGCUAAGGGAAAGGAAAGGAAAGAGAAGUCACUGCCCAGGGCAACUUAUCUUCUCGUUCAAAGACAUCAAGAGUAGGCUUCACGAUGAGGUCACCAGAUAAAUCUGGAAGUUCUAAACCAACAGAUCAGGACACAGAAAUAAACAAAAUCUGAAACAAAUAAAAGUCAUAAGCAUUAAUAAAUAUUUUUCAAUCAUUAUUUUAAAUAUAGUGGCCUCAAAUCACCAAAGAGAUGCGGACCAAAGAUUUGGAUUAGUAAUCGUCAACUGCCAGUUGGUUCUAAGAAACACACCCCACUGAUAAAGACACUACAGACUGAGAAGCAGAGAACGGAAGACGGUCUGACAAGCCAAGAGUUAGCAUAGCUAUUCUGAUAUCUGUCAAAGUAGACUUCAAACUGUAGUCAGAGGAAAAAGCCCACUCUGUGUUGUUAACAAUAAAUGGAAUAAUUCAUAAAGAA